Cyprinus carpio carpio is the source of this 2984-nucleotide long non-coding RNA. Lineage: Eukaryota; Metazoa; Chordata; Actinopteri; Cypriniformes; Cyprinidae. The record is from Ensembl.
AUGAAACAUUUGAUUCCACCAUCAUUACAAGGCUGCAAGGGAUCUGGAAAAAUGUCAUCCUGUCAAGCUGAAAAACCAUCUUCAAAAAGGUACAUUUGGACAUUUCUGUCAAUACCUAUUGUCUGCCUAAAAAUAUUGCCAAAUGGGUUGUAUAGGAAAAACACAUUUAAUAUAAACAGUUGGAGAGCUGACCUUGAGUGUUACUUUUGUCUUUUUAUCUGCAGGCACUAACAAGAACAGCUUGAUUGUAGAGAAGAGUCCACACAGCCAUACACGCUCACUGAUGGGACGAUGAGGAACAUCAUUCAUGGAUGCCACACAACUCAAAUCUACACGUCAUAUUUGUUCAUGUCUAGGUAAAUUUGAUGAUUUUGUGUUUUAUUAACUACUUUGUUUCUGUGCAACACUUAAUGAAUGUGACUGACUAAUUAACCUCUACACAUCUGGUAUAUGCUUUAAAGUUGCCACUUUGCCCAUUUGUUCAAUAAAUGUUGAAAUGUAUACAUCUGUCUGAAGACUUUCCUGAUUUUAUGUCUAUCCUUUUACAUUAACUUUAUUUUUAUCAUAAUUAACAUUAUUUUUUUUGUUUGCACUGAAAAGAGGACAUUAUUAAUUACGCUUAAAACAACAGCAGAGGUGUUAAAUACCCCAUAGUGUAAAAUCUGAACAACAAUAGCAUGUGUAACACUUUACACUUGGAGUGUAAUUUUUCUAGACAUUGUUUAAAAUGAAAUGUAAAAUGUGAAAAUGAAAAGGAUUUAAUUAAAUUCUGAUUUUAAUUCAGUGUGUGUUAUAUUUAUAUUUUAAUAUAUAUAUAUAUAUAUGUAUGUAUAUGUGUGUAUAUAUACAUACAUAUACACUUUUAGAAAUAACUGCAAAUUACAAGCUAAAUACAAAACUUAGUUCUAGAAUUUGCAUUCCGAGAUAGUUUGACAGCAAUUCCAACACAGCACAUAUGAGACCAAAUUGAAAAAGCUGAAAUGAACCUAUGUAUACACUGCAGAACAAAUAUUCUUGGAUCUUCUUGGGUGUCUUGGAUCGUUAAUUUCAAUUACUAUCAAAAAUGCUUUUGGAAAAUAUACCUCAUACAUUAAUGGCAGAAGUCUAUAGAUAUAUUGGAUACAUUGUUUUAUAGUAAAUAAAAGAAACUAUGUAAACUCCAUACAGUCAUAGGAAAAGUAUGUAGAUAUAUCGGAUAGCUGCUUUAAAUGAAAACAAAGUUUAUAUAAAGUGAACUAUGAAUUAUUGGGAAAAGUAUGUAGAUAUAUUGGAUAGUUGCUUUUAAGUAUUAUAAACAUUUUUUUUAUAUAAAGUAAACUCCAUGAAUUUAUGGAAACAGUAUGUAGAUAUAUUGGAUAGUUGCUUUUAAGUAUUAUAAAACAAUGUUUAUAUAAAGUAACCCUAUACAUUAAUGGGAGGAGAAUGUAUAUAAAUUGGAUAGUUGCGUUUAAUUACUAUAAAAGUGAGUUUAUUCAAAAUAAACCCCAUACAUUAAUAGAGAAAGUCUGUAAAUAUAUUGGAUAGUUGCUUUUAAUUACUAUAAAAGUAUGUUUAUUCAAAGUAAACCCCAUACAUUAAUGGGGAAAGUAUGUAGAUAUAUUGGAUAAAUGCUUGUAAUUACUGUCAAAUAUUGUUUAUAUAAAGUAAUGACUAUAAAAAUAUGGCUUUGCAAGCUAUUAUAAUGUGAUCUUAUUUUUUCUACAGUUCAAAAACUAAAUUUAACAGGAAUUUAAUAUUAAUAUAUUUGAUAAUCCCAUAAAAUAAAAACCUAAAGCUUUUAAAAUACGGUAUUUUAAGUAAUGUUAUGUAAUUUUUGUGUGUUUUACAUCUAAAAAUCUGUACUUUGACGGGGAAUUCUUGUGGAUUUAAUUGAUAAUGUUACGAAUUUACCAAAGAAUACUGUGUAAAAACAGAAGACUUUAAUUAAUUGUAUAAUUUUAAGGUAUUUCUACAAUAAUCUCCAGUUUAUAUGCAGAUUUAUUCAUUUGUUUAACAUUCUACAGACAUUUUUUAAUGAGAUUUUCUUUUCAUUCUUUAGCAGUGGAACGGUAAAAAUACAGAAAAUGUUUACAGUAAAUAUCUGUAUUUAAAAAACAGAAUUAUUCCGUAGAAUAACUUAAGGUUUUUUACUGUAAUUUGACGGUAAGUGUUUGGCAACUUUGCUGCCAGACUUUUUACCGUUUUUUUACGAUUGUUUUUUUACAUGCAUUUACCUUAAAUUUAAGGUUUCACAGUAAAAACACAUAGUUGUCUUAAUUUUAAAUAUGUGAAUUUUCUUGUCUUUUUACAUAGAAUUUAAUGUAAUUUAACAUUCAAGCCAAUUAAACAAAAGAAUAAUCCUGUAAAAAAGCCUAUAAUUUCUCAUUAUAUGAAUUUACAGAUUAUUACUUUUUAUUUUAUGGUUAAUGUUUUUUUAAUAAAAGUUUUUCUGUAUUUUUAAUGACAUUUACACGUAAUGUUAAAAAAACUGAAAAUAUCUGUAAAAUAAUACAGUAUAUUUCUGUGAAAAAACUUUUUUUUUUUACAGUGUAGAUUAUGCGGCAAGACAAUGAUCCAAAGCACAGAAGUAAGUACACCUCUAAAUGGCUCAAAUUAUUUAUGUUUUGGAGUUGACUAGUGAAAGUCUUGACUGGAACCCAACUGAUAUGCUGUGGCAGGACAUUAAAUUGUCAGUUCAUGCAAAAACCAUUCUAUGUGGCUGAACUUAAGCAGUUCUGCAAAGAAAGGCCUAAAUUCCAGUUAUAUCACCGCUUAUCGACACUAUGGUUGUGACAAUACACUUAGCUUACGAGAUGAGACAAAAUACAGAUACUUGGUUCACUGAUUAUUUUGACAACUGAGUAAUCUGAUAAUUUUUAGUAACACAAACAGACCUAAGUGAAAACCAGGCUUUAGUAUAACUAUUUAUAUAUAACGAUAAGGCAAUAAUUGGCUCAAAUAAAAUAUCAAAACCAAGAAAUUACAUGAUUGUAUUGAACAACACU